RNAcentral lists this ribosomal RNA (495 nucleotides) under uncultured bacterium. RNAcentral's name for it is "partial 16S ribosomal RNA". It matches the Rfam family "Bacterial small subunit ribosomal RNA", at positions 28 to 507 of the family's 1533-position model. The record is from RNAcentral.
GACGAACGCUGGCGGCGUGCCUAAUACAUGCAAGUAGAACGCUGAAGGAGGAGCUUGCUUCUCUGGAUGAGUUGCGAACGGGUGAGUAACGCGUAGGUAACCUGCCUGGUAGCGGGGGAUAACUAUUGGAAACGAUAGCUAAUACCGCAUAAUAUUGACUCUUGCAUGAUAGUCAGUUGAAAGGUGCAACUGCACCACUACCAGAUGGACCUGCGUUGUAUUAGCUAGUUGGUGGGGUAACGGCUCACCAAGGCGACGAUACAUAGCCGACCUGAGAGGGUGAUCGGCCACACUGGGACUGGGACACGGCCCAGACUCCCACGGGAGGGAGCAGUAGGGAAUCUUCGGCAAUGGACGGAAGUCUGACCGAGCAACGCCGCGGGAGUGAAGAAGGUUUUCGGAUCGUAAAGCUCUGUUGUAAGAGAAGAACGAGUGUGAGAGUGGAAAGCUCACACUGUGACGGUAUCUUAACAGAAAGGGACGGCUAACUACGUG